AGAUGCCACUCCCUUCUUGUGAGAAGUAGGAGUAGGGCUGAGAAAGGAUUUAGCCUUCCUUCUAGCCUUAAUUUUUCCAGUGGAAACCUAGAUCCUUCUCUCCCCACUACCACCUCCUAGGCGACCUUACCCGCCUGCAGAUGUCUUCAACAGUAGAGAGUCCUAGUGAGCCUGGGGCCCCAUCUAGUGCCAUACCCCACUUUGAUGGUCCUGUUAAUGCCCUCCCACAUUGUAGUUAGGGUUUAGCUGAGAAGUGGGGUAUAAGGCAGACCCCCUGUGCUGAGGAUUGAUCCACAUUGAUCCCUCAGGUCUUGGGGGCCUGGGAGGAAGCAGAUUCCUUUACCACACUUCGUUGUUCCCUCUGGCUUGUGGGGGCACGGCUGUGCUCCAUGUGGCAAGGUGGAAGGCAUGGACGUGUGGAGGAGGCGCUGGAGCUGAAGGAAUGGACGAGCCCUGGGAGGAGGGCAGAAGGCUACGCAGGGCUGAGGAUGAAGAUGCAGCCCCUGGAUGGUCCCAGACUCUCAGGACAUGCCCAGCUCAGGGGCUUCGAGCCACAGGCCUGGCCUCAUAUGGCAUGAGGGG
RNAcentral lists this long non-coding RNA (582 nucleotides) under Homo sapiens (human). RNAcentral's name for it is "non-protein coding lnc-CSRP1-2:2". The record is from RNAcentral. Lineage: Eukaryota; Metazoa; Chordata; Mammalia; Primates; Hominidae.